Molecule: ribosomal RNA, 468 nt
Filed under: uncultured bacterium
Lineage: Bacteria
Description: partial 16S ribosomal RNA
Rfam family: Bacterial small subunit ribosomal RNA
Source: RNAcentral
GAUGAACGCUGGCGGCGUGCUUAACACAUGCAAGUCGAACGGACAGGCCCUGCUUUUGCUUGUUUCUCGAUUGGCGAACGGGUGAGUAACACGUGUGUAUCCUGUCCUUGUCUUUCUGAUAACUUCUCGAAACUGCGGCUCAUACCCGAUAUGAGCUCCUGCUGCAUGUUGUUCGUUGGAAAGUUUCGGCGGUUGUGGAUCGACUCGCGGCUUAUCAGCUUGUUUGUCGGGUAGUGGCUUACCAAGGUUUUGACGGGUAGCCGGCCUGAGAGGGUUACCGGGCACAUGGGGACUAAGAUACGGAGCAGAAUCCUACGGGAGGCAGUAGGGGGGAAUAUUGCACAAUGGGCGGAAGCCUGAGGCAGAAACGCCGCGUGCGGGAUGACGGCCUUUGGGUUGUAAACAGAUGUCGCAGGAGACGAAGAGUGAGUGACGGUAAUGGGUAAAGAAGCACCGGCUAACUACGUG